RNAcentral lists this ribosomal RNA (391 nucleotides) under uncultured Bicosoecida. RNAcentral's name for it is "partial small subunit ribosomal RNA". It matches the Rfam family "Eukaryotic small subunit ribosomal RNA", at positions 30 to 432 of the family's 1831-position model. The record is from RNAcentral. Lineage: Eukaryota; Bigyra; Bicosoecida.
GCUUGUCUCAAAGAUUAAGCCAUGCAUGUCUAAGUAUAAGCACUUAUACCGUGAAACUGCGAAUGGCUCAUUAUAUCAGUUAUAGUUUAUUUGAUAGUUCCUACUACUUGGAUAACCGUAGUAAUUCUAGAGCUAAUACAUGCGACAACCCCUGACUGCUUGCAGAAAGGGCGUAUUUAUUAGAUACAACCAACCCUUCGGGUCCCUGGUGAAUCAUAAUAACUUCGCAAAUCGCAGUAAUACUGCGAUAAAUCAUUCAAGUUUCUGCCCUAUCAUGCUCUCGAUGGUAGUGUAUUGGACUACCAUGGCUCUCACGGGUAACGGGGAAUUAGGGUUCGAUUCCGGAGAAGGAGCCUGAGAAACGGCUACUACAUCUAAGGAAGGCAGCAGG